GUGUGAUCCUGCAGGUCGGUUAUGAUCGCGGACUACCUUGACACGGUAGAGGCCACUGGUUCAAUCCCAGUAUCGCCCACCA
This 82-nucleotide transfer RNA is filed under the name Actinomadura sp. KC216. RNAcentral's name for it is "tRNA-Val". The stretch from base 14 to 79 matches the Rfam family "tRNA". Rfam says of the family: Transfer RNA (tRNA) molecules are approximately 80 nucleotides in length. Their secondary structure includes four short double-helical elements and three loops (D, anti-codon, and T loops). Lineage: Bacteria; Bacillati; Actinomycetota; Actinomycetes; Streptosporangiales; Thermomonosporaceae. The record is from RNAcentral.